RNAcentral lists this microRNA precursor (279 nucleotides) under Medicago truncatula (barrel medic). RNAcentral describes it as "MIR2655 microRNA precursor family". It matches the Rfam family "MIR2655 microRNA precursor family". Lineage: Eukaryota; Viridiplantae; Streptophyta; Magnoliopsida; Fabales; Fabaceae. The record is from Rfam by way of RNAcentral.
CCCUUAACUAUUAAAAGUUUCGUUUUGGUCAUUUAACUUACUUUUUGGUUUCGUUUUGAUUCCUUAACUCUUCCUCCGUCAACCACUUUAGUCCUUUAUGUUAGGAUGAAUGUAUUAGAGUUAAGGAACCAAAAUGAAACCAAAAAAUAAGUUAAGGGACCAAAACGAAAUCAAAAAAUAAGUUAAGGGACCAAAAUGAAACUUUUAAUAGUUAAGGGACCAAAAGAAAACCCAAAAAUAAGUUAUGGGACCGAAAAGAAACUUUUAAUAGUUAAGGAA